RNAcentral lists this ribosomal RNA (460 nucleotides) under uncultured bacterium. RNAcentral's name for it is "partial 16S ribosomal RNA". It matches the Rfam family "Bacterial small subunit ribosomal RNA", at positions 338 to 795 of the family's 1533-position model. The record is from RNAcentral.
CCUACGUGAGGCAGCAGUGAGGAAUAUUGGUCAAUGGGCGCGAGCCUGAACCAGCCAAGUAGCGUGAAGGAUGACUGCCCUACGGGUUGUAAACUUCUUUUAUAAAGGAAUAAAGUGAGGCACGUGUGCCUUUUUGUAUGUACUUUAUGAAUAAGGAUCGGCUAACUCCGUGCCAGCAGCCGCGGUAAUACGGAGGAUCCGAGCGUUAUCCGGAUUUAUUGGGUUUAAAGGGAGCGUAGAUGGGUUGUUAAGUCAGUUGUGAAAGUUUGCGGCUCAACCGUAAAAUUGCAAUUGAUACUGGCAGUCUUGAGUACAGUUGAGGUAGGCGGAAUUCGUGGUGUAGCGGUGAAAUGCUUAGAUAUCACGAAGAACUCCGAUUGCGAAGGCAGCUUACUAAACUGCAACUGACAUUGAUGCUCGAAAGUGUGGGUAUCAAACAGGAUUAUAUACCCCGGUAGUC